RNAcentral lists this ribosomal RNA (253 nucleotides) under uncultured bacterium. RNAcentral describes it as "partial 16S ribosomal RNA". It matches the Rfam family "Bacterial small subunit ribosomal RNA", at positions 524 to 776 of the family's 1533-position model. The record is from RNAcentral.
UACGUAGGGUGCGAGCGUUAAUCGGAAUUACUGGGCGUAAAGCGUGCGCAGGCGGUGAUGUAAGACCGAUGUGAAAUCCCCGGGCUUAACCUGGGAACCGCAUUUGUGACUGCAUAGCUGGAGUACGGCAGAGGGGGAUGGAAUUCCGCGUGUAGCAGUGAAAUGCGUAGAUAUGCGGAGGAACACCGAUGGCGAAGGCAGUCCCCUGGGCCUGUACUGACGCUCAUGCACGAAAGCGUGGGGAGCAAACAGG